GCGCGGGCCGAGCUGCGCGCUCCGCUUGGAUGGCGUCUCCAGGCUGCCACCGCGGCUGGCGCCCUCGGGCCGCGCCUGGCGCUCCCGCGCGCUGCCCAGGUACGAGUGGUCGUAUUUGGGUGCAGUGCCUGGCGUGCGGCUCACCAGCCGUGGCAGGUGCGCGUCCUCGGCAGGUCUGCGGCGCGCGGGGCUGAAGGCCCAGCCGCGGUCAGCAUCGGUCAGGGGCUCGCGGCUGCGGCUGCGCUGACCGUAGUACUCCUCCAAGGAGUCGUCCUGGUAGAAGCCGCUGUGCGCCCGUGACUCCGAGCGCUCGAAGCGGCUCCCGCCCCGCGCCUCGUGACUGUUGCCGUCGGCCCGACGGGGCCGCUGGCCGUAGGAGUCAGCGAAGGCCGCCAGCUCGUCCAUGGAAACGGCCGGCACCCCCGUGGCGAAGUUCUUCCGCGACAGCAUCUCGGACUUGGAGCGCGGCUGGCUGCGGGCAGAGAAGGAGGGGGUCAGACGGCCGGUCCCUCCCUGGAGCUCGAGCUCCACUUAGCGCUCAUCUUCUCAGCGCUUUUGCGUUCCAUUGGAGGAGCGUAUUCACACUAAAAAAAGACCACUUUCUAGAUUGAGGACAUGCGUCACUCUAGCAUCUGAGGAUCCCACCUUCACUUUGUGAGAGCACAGCGGUCACUGUACUCACAGGCUUGAGGGCAGCAGCAGGAAUCUGGGCAGCAUGGACAGCGGACAUAGCAGCAGCAGCUGUGAGGGCAGCACUGGCACCAGCAGAUCCCCACCAGGACGAAGAAGAGGAAGACGCCCAGGAGCACCAGGC
Long non-coding RNA from Gorilla gorilla gorilla (western lowland gorilla), 814 nucleotides. RefSeq lists it as uncharacterized. NCBI's taxonomy places the organism in Eukaryota, Metazoa, Chordata, Mammalia, Primates, Hominidae. The transcript has 3 exons. The record is from RefSeq and is a predicted model, not a curated record.